GACGAACGCUGGCGGCGUGCCUAAUACAUGCAAGUAGAACGCACAGUUUAUACCGUAGCUUGCUACACCAUAGACUGUGAGUUGCGAACGGGUGAGUAACGCGUAGGUAACCUGCCUGGUAGCGGGGGAUAACUAUUGGAAACGAUAGCUAAUACCGCAUAAUAUUGAUUAUUGCAUGAUAAUUGAUUGAAAGAUGCUAUUGCAUCACUACCAGAUGGACCUGCGUUGUAUUAGCUAGUAGGUGAGGUAACGGCUCACCUAGGCGACGAUACAUAGCCGACCUGAGGGGGUGAUCGGCCACACUGGGACUGAGACACGGCCCAGACUCCUACGGGAGGCAGCAGUAGGGAAUCUUCGGCAAUGGACGAAAGUCUGACCGAGCAACGCCGCGUGAGUGAAGAAGGUUUUCGGAUCGUAAAGCUCUGUUGUAAGAGAAGAACGGGUGUGAGAGUGGAAAGUUCACACUGUGACGGUAUCUGACCAGAAAGGGACGGCUAACUACGUG
Molecule: ribosomal RNA, 505 nt
Filed under: uncultured bacterium
Lineage: Bacteria
Description: partial 16S ribosomal RNA
Rfam family: Bacterial small subunit ribosomal RNA
Source: RNAcentral